UUCCGGUUGAUCCCGCCGGACCCGACUGCUAUUUGGGUGAGGAUAAGCCAUGCGAGUUGAAUGGGAAACCUAAAGUUCCCAUGGCAAACUGCUCAGUAACACAUGAUCAACUUACCCUAUAGAGAAAAAUAACCUCGGGAAACUGAGGAUAAUGUUUCAUAGUUGAAUUGGCUUGGAAAAGUUUUUCGACGAAAGGGGUAAAAAAAAUGGUUUUUAUCUGCUAUAGGAUAGGAUCGUGUUCGAUUAUGGUUGUUGGUGAGGUAAUGGCUCACCAAGCCGAUAAUCGAUAGGGGCCGUGAGAGCGGGAGCCCCGAGAUGGGUACUGAGACAACGACCCAGGCCUUACGAGGCGCAGCAGGCGCGAAACCUCCGCAAUACACGAAAGUGUGACGGGGUUACCCAAAGUGUUCAAUUUUGAACUGUGGUAGGUGAGUAAUGUUCCCUACUAGAAAGGAGAGGGCAAGGCUGGUGCCAGCCGCCGCGGUAAAACCAGCUCUUCAAGUGGUCGGGAUAAUUAUUGGGCUUAAAGUGUCCGUAGCCGGUUUAGUAAGUUCCUGGUAAAAUCGGGUAGCUUAACUAUCUAUAUGCUAGGAAUACUACUAUACUAGAGGGCGGGAGAGGUCUGAGGUACUGCAGGGGUAGGGGUGAAAUCUUAUAAUCCUUGUUGGACCACCAGUGGCGAAGGCGUCAGACUGGAACGCGCCUGACGGUGAGGGACGAAAGCCAGGGGAGCGAACCGGAUUAGAUACCCGGGUAGUCCUGGCCGUAAACGAUGCAUACUAGGUGAUGGCACGGCCAUGAGCCGUGUCAGUGCCGUAGGGAAACCGUUAAGUGUGCCGCCUGGGAAGUACGGUCGCAAGGCUAAAACUUAAAGGAAUUGGCGGGGGAGCACCACAAGGGUGAAGCCUGCGGUUCAAUUGGAGUCAACGCCGGGAAUCACUAGUGCGGCC
Molecule: ribosomal RNA, 950 nt
Filed under: uncultured archaeon
Lineage: Archaea
Description: bacterial SSU rRNA
Rfam family: Archaeal small subunit ribosomal RNA
Source: RNAcentral